GGCCGCCGAGGAUACCCGAAGCCGCAGCGAUGCGGCUGGUCGAGAAAUUCGCC
Regulatory RNA element from Halobacterium sp., 53 nucleotides. It matches the Rfam family "leuA-Halobacteria RNA". The record is from Rfam. Lineage: Archaea; Methanobacteriati; Methanobacteriota; Halobacteria; Halobacteriales; Halobacteriaceae.